Molecule: ribosomal RNA, 460 nt
Filed under: uncultured bacterium
Lineage: Bacteria
Description: partial 16S ribosomal RNA
Rfam family: Bacterial small subunit ribosomal RNA
Source: RNAcentral
CCUACGGGUGGCAGCAGUGAGGAAUAUUGGUCAAUGGACGAGAGUCUGAACCAGCCAAGUAGCGUGAAGGAUGACUGCCCUAUGGGUUGUAAACUUCUUUUAUAUGGGAAUAAAAUGUUCCACGUGUGGGUUUUUGUAUGUACCAUAUGAAUAAGGAUCGGCUAACUCCGUGCCAGCAGCCGCGGUAAUACGGAGGAUCCGAGCGUUAUCCGGAUUUAUUGGGUUUAAAGGGAGCGUAGGUGGAUUGUUAAGUCAGUUGUGAAAGUUUGCGGCUCAACCGUAAAAUUGCAGUUGAUACUGGCAGUCUUGAGUACAGUAGAGGUGGGCGGAAUUCGUGGUGUAGCGGUGAAAUGCUUAGAUAGCACGAAGAACUCCGAUUGCGAAGGCAGCUCACUGGACUGCAACUGACACUGAGGCUCGAAAGUGUGGGUAUCAAACAGGAUUAGAUACCCCUGUAGUC